Long non-coding RNA from Uranotaenia lowii, 962 nucleotides. RefSeq lists it as uncharacterized. The record is from RefSeq and is a predicted model, not a curated record. NCBI's taxonomy places the organism in Eukaryota, Metazoa, Arthropoda, Insecta, Diptera, Culicidae. The transcript has 4 exons.
UGCAAACUAAAACUCAAUUAUUCAGCUCUGUAUAAAAAGUUUGCUGUUGUUGGAAAGCUUUGGACGGGAUGUCAAAGCAUACAAUUUUUUCAAAUUUCCGGGAUCAAAGCAAAUUAAUGGACGCGUAUCAAUACUACCUCAGGGAAAUUCAACGAAUUAACGGUAAAUUGCUCGUAAUGGUUCGUUUUAGUGAUGUUGAUAAUUUGUGCAUAGAAAAUUGAUCUGAAGAAUCGGCGGCGGAAAAUAGUUGAAAAGCGAUGAGGAGCAGCAUGAUGGGGUCGUUUUGUGUACUGCAACCCAAUGCUCAUGGAUGGUAAUCGGAAUACGUAUCGAAAUCGUCCCGUAAAAAGAAUGCGAGCCCAAAAAGAAGACAAAUGAAAGCCAAAUUUAAAGAAAUUGUGAAUCAAGGUCAAUAUCCUCCGGAAAAACUUAAACCGGAAGAGAUGUAUCGGCUGAUAAUGUUCUCCAGUUUUGAUUCCUCCUUAGCAUAAGGAGCUUUUGCUGCAAGGAAAUCACAUAGCACCUGGAAAAUAAAUUUUAAGAUGCACAUAUAAAGAAAAAAUGAGGAUAGUGUAACCGGUUUCUGAUUCCUGGGUGUUAUGCUACGUAUAGCAUAGAUAGUCAUCAACAUUUCAAGUUUCUUGUGGAACUGUGGCCAUGAAAUUCGAACACCUUUUUCUAGAGGAUUCGAUGCUGAUGACGGUGAAGUUACACAGGCUGAAAAAAAAAGAAAACAGCAUCUCGGGACCAUGCGAAAGUAUCGAUAAGCCUGAUGGAAUGAAUAUCUCAGAUCGAAAUUGCUUUUGAUGGAGCCUGGCAUAGGGUUAUAAACAAAUGAACAGGUUUACAUAAAUUGUUUUUUACUUUUCAUUCUAUUGCUAUCAGCUUACUUUAUCAAUGUAUCGGAAUGCUAAAUAACUUAUGUUAAUUUUUAAGAUUUGAAAUAUUCAUUAAAAUUUAAA